This 459-nucleotide ribosomal RNA is filed under the name uncultured bacterium. Its description in RNAcentral is "partial 16S ribosomal RNA". It matches the Rfam family "Bacterial small subunit ribosomal RNA", at positions 339 to 795 of the family's 1533-position model. The record is from RNAcentral.
CUACGGGAUGCAGCAGUAAGGAAUAUUGGUCAAUGGACGCAAGUCUGAACCAGCCAUGCCGCGUGCAGGAUGACAGCCCUAUGGGUUGUAAACUGCUUUUAUCAGGGAAUAAAUCCCCGAUCGUGAUCGGGGUUGAAGGUACCUGAAGAAUAAGGACCGGCUAACUCCGUGCCAGCAGCCGCGGUAAUACGGAGGGUCCGAGCGUUAUCCGGAUUUAUUGGGUUUAAAGGGUGCGCAGGCGGAAUAAUAAGUCAGUGGUGAAAUCUCCCGGCUCAACCGGGAAACUGCCAUUGAUACUGUUAUUCUUGAGUAUAGUUGUAGUAGGCGGAAUAUAGCAUGUAGCGGUGAAAUGCUUAGAUAUGCUAUAGAACACCGAUCGCGAAGGCAGCUCACUAAACUAUAACUGACGCUCAGGCACGAAAGCGUGGGGAGCAAACAGGAUUAGAUACCCCCGUAGUC